RNAcentral lists this transfer RNA (67 nucleotides) under Sergentia baueri. RNAcentral's name for it is "tRNA-Glu". Lineage: Eukaryota; Metazoa; Arthropoda; Insecta; Diptera; Chironomidae. The record is from RNAcentral.
UUUUAUAUAGUUUAAUUAAAACAUUAUAUUUUCAUUAUAAAAAAAAAGAAAUUAUCUUUUAUAAAAA